This 1006-nucleotide long non-coding RNA is filed under the name Rattus norvegicus (Norway rat). RNAcentral's name for it is "long non-coding RNA NONRATT027052". The stretch from base 312 to 584 matches the Rfam family "7SK RNA". The record is from RNAcentral. Lineage: Eukaryota; Metazoa; Chordata; Mammalia; Rodentia; Muridae.
CCGGAUGAGCCGAACCAGCUUCUUCAGUUCUUCAUUUUCCCGCACCAGCCUCUCAAUCUGAUGCCGAAGCCCCUCAUAAUUUGCUCAGCUCUCUGCGCCUCCAGGCCUGUGUGUUGCCUUACCUCAGCCUGAAGUGUCCUGACAAGAUGAGUCCUAUACCACAUCACUUGCCUCGUGGCCGUGCAGUUGGCCCCUCGGUGCCUUCCAAAGGAUGGUCGCCAGCGAGCGUAGUGACUCUUCCUUUGCACCUGAUCUCUUCUCCUCGGGUCCUUGAAUCUUCCGGAGUUCCAUUCUCUCAAGGAUCUAAAAUAAGACAUGGUGGUGAUCCAGCAGCACCAUCUGUCACUCUACGAUCGCCAGGGUUGAGUCAACUUGGCUGAUCUGGCCGGCUAAGCAAGUACCCAUUCCAUCCUCCUGAAGAAGUCCAUUUGGUAGAAGGCAACCUUCUCCCAGAGGAGGAGCGGCGUUCAACCGAAGAUGCACAAGUCGCUGUGUUCCUCCGCUACGACUUCCGAACAAGAACUGGAGCGAGUCCUCCUCACCUGGCUUCAAGAGAUGAGGACUGAGUCCUCCUGACAUGCCCUUCUUCUAGAGCUAUCUAGAAAGAGUGCCAUGGGCCUGAUCUUGGGAGUCAAUGGAACCUAAUCCUCAAGACCUCCACUGGCUCUGUGGUCAACUUCUCUCAAAGCUCUCCAUGGGUCAGGGAGAGGAAGGUAAAGUCCAGUUUUUGACCAGAUUCCAGUGGGCAGACUCUGGUAGAGAGCGGAGCUGAGGAAGAGGAGAUCAGUCAGGGCUGGGGUCAGUCUAAGUUGGGUGUUCUAUCUGGACCUCACAAUGCUCCAUGAUGUAAUCCUAAGUUCAUCUGGCACUCCAUGAUGUAAUCCUAAGUCACUCUGGCCUCAAGGACAAGAGUACCUGAGGACCAGGCACAAGUUCUUUUCACUAUUCCACCUAAUUUUAUAAAACAUGUCUGCUGAAUUUCCCUUCAGCAUGUGACAAUAAGCGU